AACGAACGCUGGCGGCAGGCUUAACACAUGCAAGUCGAGCGCCCCGCCAGGGGAGCGGCAGACGGGUGAGUAACGCGUGGGAACGUACCUUUUGGUUCGGAACAACUCCGGGAAACUGGAGCUAAUACCGGAUAAGCCCUAACGGGGAAAGAUUUAUCGCCGAAAGAUCGGCCCGCGUCUGAUUAGCUAGUUGGUGAGGUAACGGCUCACCAAGGCGACGAUCAGUAGCUGGUCUGUGAGGAUGAUCAGCCACACUGGGACUGAGACACGGCCCAGACUCCUACGGGAGGCAGCAGUGGGGAAUAUUGGACAAUGGGCGCAAGCCUGAUCCAGCCAUGCCGCGUGAGUGAUGAAGGCCUUAGGGUUGUAAAGCUCUUUUGUCCGGGAAGAUAAUGACUGUACCGGAAGAAUAAGCCCCGGCUAACUUCGUG
Molecule: ribosomal RNA, 431 nt
Filed under: uncultured bacterium
Lineage: Bacteria
Description: partial 16S ribosomal RNA
Rfam family: Bacterial small subunit ribosomal RNA
Source: RNAcentral